This is an RNA transcript of Condylura cristata (star-nosed mole), 162 nucleotides long. RefSeq lists it as uncharacterized. The transcript is spliced from 3 exons. NCBI's taxonomy places the organism in Eukaryota, Metazoa, Chordata, Mammalia, Eulipotyphla, Talpidae. The record is from RefSeq and is a predicted model, not a curated record.
GUAGGAAGCUUCGGUCCAGACAUGUCCAACAACAUGGCCAAGAUCGCCGAGGCCCGAAAGACCGUGGAACAGCUGAAGCUGGAGGUGUCACAGGCGGCGGCUGAACUGUUGGCCUUCUGCGAAACGCAUGCCAAAGACGACCCGCUGGUGACGCCGGUGCCG